Molecule: non-coding RNA, 163 nt
Filed under: uncultured Prevotella sp.
Lineage: Bacteria; Pseudomonadati; Bacteroidota; Bacteroidia; Bacteroidales; Prevotellaceae
Source: RNAcentral
GGUUCGAUUAGCUCGAUUAAAAAGGGAACGGAGUGAAAAUCUCCGACUGUCUCGCAGCUGUAAGUUCCUUUAUGUCUGUCAGGCAAUGACACCACUGCCCACAAAACGGGGCGGGAAGGUGCUUGACGGCGGAACAAAGUCAGAAGACCUGCCUUACGUUUAA